This 492-nucleotide ribosomal RNA is filed under the name uncultured bacterium. RNAcentral's name for it is "partial 16S ribosomal RNA". It matches the Rfam family "Bacterial small subunit ribosomal RNA", at positions 29 to 507 of the family's 1533-position model. The record is from RNAcentral.
AGUGAACGCUGGCGGUAGGCCUAACACAUGCAAGUCGAACGGCAGCACAGUAAGAGCUUGCUCUUACGGGUGGCGAGUGGCGGACGGGUGAGGAAUACAUCGGAAUCUACUUUUUCGUGGGGGAUAACGUAGGGAAACUUACGCUAAUACCGCAUACGACCUACGGGUGAAAGCAGGGGCUCUUCGGACCUUGCGCGAUUGAAUGAGCCGAUGUCGGAUUAGCUAGUUGGCGGGGUAAAGGCCCACCAAGGCGACGAUCCGUAGCUGGUCUGAGAGGAUGAUCAGCCACACUGGAACUGAGACACGGUCCAGACUCCUACGGGAGGCAGCAGUGGGGAAUAUUGGACAAUGGGCGCAAGCCUGAUCCAGCCAUACCGCGUGGGUGAAGAAGGCCUUCGGGUUGUAAAGCCCUGUUGUUGGGAAAGAAAAGCAGCAGGUUAAUACCCCGCUGUUCUGACGGUACCCAAAGAAUAAGCACCGGCUAACUUCGUG